ACGAACGCUGGCGGCAUGCCUAACACAUGCAAGUCGAACGAGACCUUCGGGUCUAGUGGCGCACGGGUGCGUUACGCGUGGGAACCUGCCCUUAGGUUCGGAAUAACUCCCCGAAAGGGGUGCUAAUACCGGAUAAUGUCUUCGGACCAAAGAUUUAUCGCCUUUGGAUGGGCCCGCGUUGGAUUAGCUAGUUGGUAGGGUAAAAGCCUACCAAGGCGACGAUCCAUAGCUGGUCUGAGAGGAUGAUCAGCCACACUGGGACUGAGACACGGCCCAGACUCCUACGGGAGGCAGCAGUGGGGAAUAUUGGACAAUGGGCGAAAGCCUGAUCCAGCAAUGCCGCGUGAGUGAUGAAGGCCUUAGGGUUGUAAAGCUCUUUUACCCGGGAUGAUAAUGACAGUACCGGGAGAAUAAGCUCCGGCUAACUCCGUG
This 432-nucleotide ribosomal RNA is filed under the name uncultured bacterium. Its description in RNAcentral is "partial 16S ribosomal RNA". It matches the Rfam family "Bacterial small subunit ribosomal RNA", at positions 29 to 507 of the family's 1533-position model. The record is from RNAcentral.